Molecule: ribosomal RNA, 218 nt
Filed under: uncultured bacterium
Lineage: Bacteria
Description: partial 16S ribosomal RNA
Rfam family: Bacterial small subunit ribosomal RNA
Source: RNAcentral
UAGUAUGGGGAUCUGCCCGAUAGAGGGGGAUAACUACUGGAAACGGUGGCUAAUACCGCAUAAUGUCUACGGACCAAAGCAGGGGCUCUUCGGACCUUGCACUAUCGGAUGAACCCAUAUGGGAUUAGCUAGUAGGUGGGGCAAAGGCUCACCUAGGCGACGAUCUCUAGCUGGUCUGAGAGGAUGAUCAGCCACACUGGGACUGAGACACGGCCCAG